GGAUUGCCUCAGUAACGGCGAGUGAAGCGGCAAGAGCUCAAAUUUGAAAUCUGGCCCCUCCGGGGUCCGAGUUGUAAUUUGCAGAGGAUGCUUCGGAUACGGCCCCCGUCUAAGUGCCCUGGAACGGGCCGUCGGAGAGGGUGAGAAUCCCGUCUGGGACGGGGUGUCCGUGUCCGUGUGAAGCUCCUUCGACGAGUCGAGUUGUUUGGGAAUGCAGCUCUAAAUGGGUGGUAAAUUUCAUCUAAAGCUAAAUAUUGGCCGGAGACCGAUAGCGCACAAGUAGAGUGAUCGAAAGAUGAAAAGCACUUUGAAAAGAGAGUUAAACAGCACGUGAAAUUGUUGAAAGGGAAGCGCUUGCGACCAGACUCGCCGACGGGGUUCAGCCGGGAUUCGUCCCGGUGUACUUCCCCGCCGGCGGGCCAGCGUCGGUUUGGGCGGCCGGUCAAAGGCCUCCGGAAUGUAUCGCCCUCCGGGGCGUCUUAUAGCCGGAGGUGCAAUGCGGCCUGCCCGGACCGAGGAACGCGCUUCGGCACGGACGCUGGCA
Molecule: ribosomal RNA, 544 nt
Filed under: Hamigera ingelheimensis
Lineage: Eukaryota; Fungi; Ascomycota; Eurotiomycetes; Eurotiales; Aspergillaceae
Description: partial large subunit ribosomal RNA
Rfam family: Eukaryotic large subunit ribosomal RNA
Source: RNAcentral